Molecule: ribosomal RNA, 251 nt
Filed under: uncultured bacterium
Lineage: Bacteria
Description: partial 16S ribosomal RNA
Rfam family: Bacterial small subunit ribosomal RNA
Source: RNAcentral
ACAAAGAGAGUAGCGCACUGGUGAGUAACACGUGGGAACGUACCUUGAAGUGGGGAAUAGCGUCUGGAAACGGACGAUAAUACCGCAUAAUCCCUGAGGGGGAAAGAUUUAUCGCUUUAAGAACGGCUCGCGGAAGAUUAGGUAGUUGGUGGGGUAAAGGCCUACCAAGCCUACGAUCUAUAGCUGGUCUGAGAGGACGAUCAGCCACAUUGGAACUGAGACACGGUCCAAACUCCUACGGGAGGCAGCAG